UUGGAUUGCUACCCAUCAGUCAGAUCUUUUCAACCCUUAACUUUUAAUUUUGUGCAUAGGAUUAGUCUCUUCAUCUUCUCCCCAUUUCUUUAAUUUCAAAAUCUCUUCCUCGUCUUUUUAAAAUAUUCUUUGAUUGAACUCAUUUUGUUCUAAACUUUGACCACUUUACAAAAAGAUAGAAACUUUGGCCUUAUGCCAUUGCAUUUUCAAUCUUCUUUUCUUAAAUCAAAUUUGUAAAUAAACUUAAC
This 248-nucleotide long non-coding RNA is filed under the name Lathyrus oleraceus (garden pea). Its description in RNAcentral is "Pisum sativum (pea) long non-coding RNA (PSAT_LNC032017)". The record is from RNAcentral. Lineage: Eukaryota; Viridiplantae; Streptophyta; Magnoliopsida; Fabales; Fabaceae.